AUACUUGUAUUCAUUUUUAUUAGAGACUUUGCUAUGAAACACUAGAGAUUAUUCCAUUUUUCACAGUUUUGUAAUAAGUUUCAUUUUCAUUUGAUUACUUAAAACUCCAAUAACAACAUGUGACUGUUAAAACAACGAAAGUGCAAAGCAACAGUUUUAAAAGAAUACUCAUGGUAGUGUAUAAGUGUAGUAGCUAAAAGUCAUUCAAAAAAUGAAUUAUUAAACAGAGUGAACUACAAACAUUAUCUAUUGUAAUACAUGUGGUUGAAACAUCAAGGUCCUUUGUUUACUCAUUUGUAUUUCCUACAGCCAGAUAAGGUGUGUGUGUGGGGGGGGGGGGGGAGG
Non-coding RNA from Biomphalaria pfeifferi, 345 nucleotides. The record is from the annotation of a GenBank genome assembly. Lineage: Eukaryota; Metazoa; Mollusca; Gastropoda; Planorbidae.